Molecule: non-coding RNA, 1766 nt
Organism: Callithrix jacchus (white-tufted-ear marmoset)
Lineage: Eukaryota; Metazoa; Chordata; Mammalia; Primates; Cebidae
Source: RefSeq, a predicted model, not a curated record
UGCUGGACCAUCCCUGAGGCCUGCAGAGGAGACAUGAUGUGUAUUAACCAAAAUGGUGGGUAUUUAUGCAUCCCCCGAGCAAACCCCACGUAUCGAGGGCCCUACUUGAACCCCUAUUUGACCCCCACUCAGGUCCAUACCCAGCAGCUGCCCCACCGCUCUCAGCUCCAAACUAUUCCACAAUCUCCAGGCCUCUUAUAUGCCGCUUUGGAUACCAGAUGAAGGCAACCAGUGUGUGGAUGUGGACGAGUGUACAACAGAUUCCCACCAGUGCAACUCUACCCAGAUCUGCAUCAACACUGAAGGCAGGUACCCCUGCUCCUGCACCGAUGGAUACUGGCUACUGGAAGGCCAGUGCUUAGAUAUUGAUGAAUGUCACUAUGGUACUGCCAGCAGCUCUGUGCGAAUGUUCCUGGAUCCUACUCUUGUACAUGCAACCCUGGUUUUACCCUCAAUGAGGAUGGAAGCUCUUGCCAAGAUGUGAACGAGUGUGUAACUGAGGACCCCUGCGUGCAAACCUGCAUCAACACCUAUGGCUCUUUCGUCUGCCACUGUGACCUAGGAUAUGAACUUGAGGAAGAUGGUGUUCACUGCAGUGAUGUGGAUGAGUGCAGCUUCUCUGAGUUCCUCUGCCAACAUGAAUGUGUGAACCAGCCCGGCAUGUACUUCUGCUCCUGCCCUUCAGGCUACAUCCUACUGGAUGACAACCGAAGCCGCCAGGACAUCAAUGAAUGUGAGCACAGAAAGCACACAUGAAACCUGCAGCAGACUUGCUACAAUUUACAAGGGGGUUUCAAACGCAUUGACCCCAUCCGAUGUGAGGAGCCUUAUCUGAGGAUCAGCGAUAACUGCUGUAUGUGUCCUGCUGAGAACCCUGGCUGCAGAGACAAGCCCUUUACCAUCUUGUACCUGGACGUGGAUGUGGUGUCAGGACACUUCGUUCCUGCUGACAUCUUCCAAAUGCAAGCCACGACCUGCUACCCUGGGGCCUAUUACCUUUUCCAGAUCAAAUCUGGGAACGAGGACAGAGAAUUUUAUGUGCAGCAAAUGGGCCCCAUCAGCGCCAUCCUAGUGAUGAUGCGCCCCCUCAAAGGGCCCCGGGAAAUCCAGCUGGACUUGGAAAUGAUCACUGUCAACACUGUCAUCAACUUCAGAGGCAGCUCUGUGGUCCCACUGUGGAUAUAUGUGUCUCAGUACCCAUUCUGAGCCUUGGGCUGGAGCCUCUGAUGCUGCCUCUCAUCAGCACCAAGGGACAGGAGAAGAGAGGAGAGGAAACAACAGAGAGAAUGAGAGUGAGACAGACGUUAUGCAUUUCCUGCUGAACAUUUCCCCAAAGAGUCAGCCCCGACGUCCUGACUCCCACCAGUACUAUUGCAGACCUGUCGCCCUGAAGGACAUGCCACCCCCAGUUCCUAUGAUGCAGUUAUCAAAAAGUAUUAUCACUGGCUCCCUGAUAUAAGAUUGUUGGUGAUUUUUCAAGGCCUUCAGUUUAUUUCCAUGUUUUUUAAGGAACAUAGAUUAGGUUUGUGGUGGUCUAUGUUCAAAGACUGUGAACAGCUUGCUGUCACCUCUUCCACUCCUUCUCUCACUGUGUUGCUGCUUUGCAAAGACCUGGGAGCUGGUGGGGAAUGCUCGGAGUAGCUAGUUUGCUUUUUGCAUACACUGAGAAGGCUAUGUAAACAAACCGCAGCAGUAUCGAAGGGUUUUCAGAGAAUGAAUUUCAAAACCAUGUCUGGUAUUUUCAGCCAUAAAAGAAGAUUGAAUUG